Molecule: long non-coding RNA, 1292 nt
Organism: Bubalus bubalis (water buffalo)
Lineage: Eukaryota; Metazoa; Chordata; Mammalia; Artiodactyla; Bovidae
Exons: 2
Source: RefSeq, a predicted model, not a curated record
AGUAACGAAUUGGCACUGAGAGAGGCCAAUAAGUGAAGGGUACGGUGUGAAGGAGGGAGGGAAGUUCUUUGAUCGAUGUCCAUUGUAGCCAAUAAAUAUGUGGGGCCGCUCCCAUUCGUUAAAACGUCUUCCCCUGGGCGGAGAUCAGUUCUCCCUGCAGGAGCGGUUGCUCCACAAGGUGGGGCCCGUGUACUUUGGGGAAGUAAACCCCAAGCAACUAGGAGGUGGGCGCCAGGAUGGCCAAGGAAGCCCCCGGCCAAUCGCAGCGCGGGAAGGAGCUGAUUGACGCGGGGGUUGGACAGCACCAAGGAGACCGAUCCCCGGGUCUCCGUGCCCUCUGGGGCGGUUCUGAGGUUCUAUUGGUCCCUACUUCUGUCUCCUGUUUCCUUUCCUUUCUUCACUCCUUGGGUGCGAUCCCUGAGACCCCUGAUCCCACGUUUUCCGCACAGUUUGAUACCAGGGGAACCAGGCAUGUGACCCUGCAGCAGGGGCUCGCGUUAAGUUUUGCAAAUUUGGAAAUGAAGCAUGUGGAGCCUCUCCAUUGGAGACAAGGGGGCGCGGACAGCAGCCGGUGAAGUCGGAGGUGCGGCCCCAGGAGCCAAGCAGGAGCAUCCCUUUGGCCCCCUAAGCCCCAUCCAGCAACGACUUGGCUCAUUCAGCAUUUAUUGGGCACCAGGGUCUGGGAUCAGAGACGAUCGAGACGCUGUCCCUGCUGGCUGUCAUCCAUUCAACAAGCCCGGACGCCGCGCCGAGAGCUCCCCAAACUGGGGAACCGGUGUGUGGGGCUGUGGAGGCACCUGAGGGAACUCGGCUCAGGCAGAAGCUGCUAAAGGUUUUCUGGAGUAAGGAACCUACAGGAUCGUGUUAACCUUGCUAAGAAACUUGAGCUUUAUUCUGAGAGCGGUGGAGAGCCCCCGAAAGGUUUCUUAAAAGGGUGGACUAAGACUUUUGCAUUUUACAAGACAACUUUCCAAAUUGAAAAGCUAAUGAGAGCUGGUUAGCAACCCUUGAAAUUCACAGAUUGGUAAUUUAACCCAGUUGGCCUGAGAUCGGGGGUCCAGGCUAUUCUUGAUCACAUUUGGAGCGAAUUUUAAGUGAUACAGACAGUUCUUUUUGUAGGACUUUUGGCAGUCUGUUAAAAUUGUGUUUAUUUCCCUUCUUGCUUGAAAGCCAUGUGGCUUUACCAAGAGGCAUGUACUUGGUGUUCAUUACAGCACUGUCCACUUUGUUAUGAUAUUUAAAAACUGAAAACAUAACUACUCAUGAAUUUGCAAACUGACUAGCCAGUAAUA